Oryza punctata is the source of this 202-nucleotide non-coding RNA. The record is from Rfam. NCBI's taxonomy places the organism in Eukaryota, Viridiplantae, Streptophyta, Magnoliopsida, Poales, Poaceae.
AAUAAGUGCAGUUUUGCACUGUUCACAUCCAAUGUUUGAUCAUCAUUCUUAUUUAAAAAAUAUGAUUAGUAUUUUUUGUUGUUAUUAGAUGAUAAAACAUGAAUAGUACUUUAUGUGUGACUAUUUUUUUUAAUUUUUUCAUAAAUUUUUUAAAUAAAACAGACAGUCAAAUAUUGGAUACGGAUCCACGACUACGCUUAUU